RNAcentral lists this ribosomal RNA (771 nucleotides) under uncultured bacterium. Its description in RNAcentral is "bacterial SSU rRNA". It matches the Rfam family "Bacterial small subunit ribosomal RNA", at positions 8 to 796 of the family's 1533-position model. The record is from RNAcentral.
AGAGUUUGAUCAUGGCUCAGGACGAACGCUGGCGGCGUGCUUAACACAUGCAAGUCGAGCGAUGAAGCUCCUUCGGGAGUGGAUUAGCGGCGGACGGGUGAGUAACACGUGGGUAACCUGCCUCGUAGAGGGGAAUAGCCUUCCGAAAGGAAGAUUAAUACCGCAUAAGAUUGUAGUUUCGCAUGAAACAGCAAUUAAAGGAGUAAUCCGCUAUGAGAUGGACCCGCGUCGCAUUAGCUAGUUGGUGAGGUAACGGCUCACCAAGGCGACGAUGCGUAGCCGACCUGAGAGGGUGAUCGGCCACAUUGGGACUGAGACACGGCCCAGACUCCUACGGGAGGCAGCAGUGGGGAAUAUUGCACAAUGGGGGAAACCCUGAUGCAGCAACGCCGCGUGAGUGAUGACGGUCUUCGGAUUGUAAAACUCUGUCUUCAGGGACGAUAAUGACGGUACCUGAGGAGGAAGCCACGGCUAACUACGUGCCAGCAGCCGCGGUAAUACGUAGGUGGCAAGCGUUGUCCGGAUUUACUGGGCGUAAAGGGAGCGUAGGUGGAUAUUUAAGUGGGAUGUGAAAUACUCGGGCUCAACCUGAGUGCUGCAUUCCAAACUGGAUAUCUAGAGUGCAGGAGAGGAAAGUAGAAUUCCUAGUGUAGCGGUGAAAUGCGUAGAGAUUAGGAAGAAUACCAGUGGCGAAGGCGACUUUCUGGACUGUAACUGACACUGAGGCUCGAAAGCGUGGGGAGCAAACAGGAUUAGAUACCCUAGUAGUCC